Molecule: ribosomal RNA, 279 nt
Filed under: uncultured bacterium
Lineage: Bacteria
Description: partial 16S ribosomal RNA
Rfam family: Bacterial small subunit ribosomal RNA
Source: RNAcentral
UGCCAGCCGCCGCGGUAAUACGAAGGGGGCUAGCGUUGUUCGGAAUUACUGGGCGUAAAGGGCGCGCAGGCGGUCUUGUCCGUCAGGUGUGAAAGCUCGGGGCUCAACCCCGGAAGUGCACUUGAAACAGCAAGACUUGAAUACGGUAGAGGAGAGAGGAAUUCCUGGUGUAGAGGUGAAAUUCAUAGAUAUUCGGAGGAACACCAGUGGCGAAGGCGGCUCACUGGCUCGAUACUGACGCUGAGGUGCGAAAGCGUGGGGAGCAAACAGGAUUAGAUA